Molecule: ribosomal RNA, 497 nt
Filed under: uncultured bacterium
Lineage: Bacteria
Description: partial 16S ribosomal RNA
Rfam family: Bacterial small subunit ribosomal RNA
Source: RNAcentral
GAUGAACGCUGGCGGCGUGCCUAAUACAUGCAAGUCGAGCGAACAGAUGAGGAGCUUGCUCCUCUGACGUUAGCGGCGGACGGGUGAGUAACACGUGGAUAACCUACCUAUAAGACUGGGAUAACUUCGGGAAACCGGAGCUAAUACCGGAUAAUAUAUUGAACCGCAUGGUUCAAUAGUGAAAGACGGUUUUGCUGUCACUUAGAGAUGGAUCCGCGCCGCAUUAGCUAGUUGGUAAGGUAACGGCUUACCAAGGCAACGAGGCGUAGCCGACCUGAGAGGGUGAUCGGCCACACUGGAACUGAGACACGGUCCAGACUCCUACGGGAGGCAGCAGUAGGGAAUCUUCCGCAAUGGGCGAAAGCCUGACGGAGCAACGCCGCGUGAGUGAUGAAGGUCUUCGGAUCGUAAAACUCUGUUAUUAGGGAAGAACAAAUGUGUAAGUAACUAUGCACGUCUUGACGGUACCUAAUCAGAAAGCCACGGCUAACUACGUG